GAACGCUGGCGGCGUGCUUAACACAUGCAAGUCGAACGGUGAAGCGCCUACCUUUUUGGUGGGUGUGGAUGAGUGGCGAACGGGUGAGUAACACGUGAGUAACCUGCCCCCUUCUUCUGGAUAACCGCAUGAAAGUGUGGCUAAUACGGGAUAUUCUGGGUCUGUCGCAUGAUGGGUCUGGGAAAGAUAUUGUUUCGGUGGGGGAUGGGCUCGCGGCCUAUCAGCUUGUUGGUGGGGUGAUGGCCUACCAAGGCGGUGACGGGUAGCCGGCCUGAGAGGGUGGACGGUCACACUGGGACUGAGACACGGCCCAGACUCCUACGGGAGGCAGCAGUGGGGAAUAUUGCACAAUGGGCGCAAGCCUGAUGCAGCGACGCCGCGUGAGGGAUGGAGGCCUUCGGGUUGUGAACCUCUUUCGCCAGUGAAGCAGGCCUGCCUCGUUUGUGGGUGGGUUGACGGUAGCUGGAUAAGAAGCGCCGGCUAACUACGUG
This 491-nucleotide ribosomal RNA is filed under the name uncultured bacterium. Its description in RNAcentral is "partial 16S ribosomal RNA". It matches the Rfam family "Bacterial small subunit ribosomal RNA", at positions 31 to 507 of the family's 1533-position model. The record is from RNAcentral.